CUGUGUCCUUCUUUUAGGCAAAUACAGAGAGGGCAGAGAGCUUUCCUGCAUAGGCUUCUUCUUAAUUGCCUUCAACUCAAUUAUUCUUUAUAUUUGGUGGCAGCAUAUUCUGGUCUUCCACACCUCUAAGAUUUCCUCUUAAAACACAAAUAGGAUUGGAGAAGAAAAACAUGAAGGCUUUCCAUUAACAACCUACCUUAACUUGGGCUGUUCCGUUGGCUAGUAUGCAGUGUCCACUGAUAGCUAAGAAGAAUCUCUGAAAUAAUACCCAGAAGGUUCCAUUUUACCAAAGGACAUCAGGAUUCAGGAGAAAAGGAGACCCAGGUUCAUAUCAGGGUGUUUAGGAGCAUAUGGAAAUUCAGGUGAACAAGAUUUGUAGCAGCUAACAGGAAAGAUGUAGCUUAUCAGCUCUCCACAUGAUGUGUCAAACAGAAGCAGAAAAUGGGUGAAGACGGCAAAGAUGAUGAAACUUAGCACCCAGCUGAGCAGCACAGUCAUGAGAAGAGUGACAAUUCCAGUCAAGACUAUCAAUGUUUCAAAGGCAUGGGAAGAGGCAGCAGCUGAGGAC
RNAcentral lists this long non-coding RNA (568 nucleotides) under Rhinopithecus bieti (black snub-nosed monkey). RNAcentral describes it as "lncRNA (ENSRBIG00000045757.1)". Lineage: Eukaryota; Metazoa; Chordata; Mammalia; Primates; Cercopithecidae. The record is from RNAcentral.